Molecule: long non-coding RNA, 2681 nt
Filed under: Triticum aestivum (bread wheat)
Lineage: Eukaryota; Viridiplantae; Streptophyta; Magnoliopsida; Poales; Poaceae
Description: long non-coding RNA (TAES_LNC004794)
Source: RNAcentral
UUGAGAUUCCCAAUGUAUUAAGCUUGACCAAUUAGCAUAUCUGAAUCAUGUAUGCCCUUUCAGCUCCCAACAAACUCUCGGGAAUGUAUCAAUACAUGUAGGCUAACACAGUUUGCAACAAGUUUUACUUGAUGACUGUGUAUUAUGGGCAAAACACUCCCAUGUAUCAGCCACAACAUUUAGCUCUGUAAGGAAUAAGAGUAUAUGCAUUGGACUAUAUGGCACCAAAUAUGUUUGCAAAAUGCACCCCUAUACUACAGAUCAUAGUAGAAUGAAUCUGUCCUUCCAGGAAAGAGUUGCUGGACAACUCAGAAGAAUCAUUGGGAAUUUGACCAGUCAAUGCAACGAGCCAGGCAGUACAGCAACUAUAGUGCAACUGCCAGCUUUAUUCCUUCAGUGACCAGACACCUGAGUUAGUAGGACACAUAUUAGCCCUUCGUACCCUCUAGAAGCUUAAGAGACAGUAUUAAGAUGUGAACAUGACAGCAGAACCUCAAAAUGUAAGCAUGUGGGUACUUGCAUUUUGACCCAAAUCUCUACACUCACAAAAGUAAAUCCAACCAACAUAGUAAAACAUCAUACUGGAACAUAUAAAGUUUCCAGGGAGCUCAAUGUUACUGAUCAUUUCAAUCCUUAGAUUAUAAGCAGGUACUCCCUCCAAUGCAAUAUGCCACAAUUUGCCCACCAGCGAUGAUAAUGCACGUCAUGUAAGAGCUCAAGAGAUCUAGCAUACUAGUGUGAAACUUAAUAAUAGCAGAAACGCAUCUUGUUUUGUAAGAUAAUUUGGUAAUGACGAACUAAUGACAUCGGACAUGCACGAGCUGGUUAAUAAAAAUCCUAUUAGCCUGAUAACGAUCUGAUUAGCCAGCCAGUCACAGCAUAUACAUGCACUAAAAGUUCUCUUUGUCUCAGGAAUAUUCAAUUCACAAGAUCCACUGCCAGUAGUACAAUAAUGCUGGAUCGUUAGGUGCUGCUGCUCUGAGCGUAACUACCAUCAUACAGCUUGCCUAGAAUACCAAUUGCAGGGUAAGCUACUCCCAAAUGACCAUUUUACACGUAAGUACGAUGAGAAAACAAUAUAAAACAUCAAAUCUCCAAUUAGAACCAGCUAGUCGGUGAUGAUCCGUGCGUAUCUUGAUGGCAGCAUGUCUCACGGGGCACAUGUAGCUCGAUCCAAUUAGUAGAAAACGCCUACAGGUUAUCACGUGGACAUGGUAUUGUUUAUGAAGAAACCCCUUGGCCCCAGCCCUCCACCCAAGGUCACACACUCCAGUGAGAUCAAUCUCUUGUUUAAGUCUACACUUGACCAAUUAAGAAAAUAGAGAGUACUGCUUAUGUACUAUACAAUAGGCCAAGUAGGCCUGCCUGCUAAACAGAUGCUAGGAAUCACAUGCAUUAUCUUAUCGUAUUGCGUUACGUUAACAGACCCUCACAUGCCUUACAUACUUUAGAUCUGUCACCUUGUUCGUGCGUAAACUUUGAAAAGUGAUAUGUGAAUCAUGAGGUCCAGGUAAAUUUUGUAAAGAAGAUCAGCAUGGACAAUGAUGAAGCCUCAUGGUCUGAUACUGAAAAGAUCCUCAAAAGGCAGUCCUGCUCAGUUAGGAUAAGAAUAUGUAAGAUGCAAAUAUUGGCCACGAAAAUCGGUCUUUCCUCAUCAACAUUGGCAUGAUUUGGGCAUCAGUUGGAUAAUCUUUUGACCACCGACCACCACACAACAUUGAUGGAGUCGUACUGGUCAGCAAAACUUUACAUAUAUCACAGUUAGUUUACGUUAUCAUCACACCUUGUUGCCACAACAAGCAAAGGACUCUUUACUAGACAAAAGAACAAGUGAAUUCCAGAAAAGAGUGACAAUGUAGUGACAUCCUGAAUGAAGAUAAAUCAUACCGAGGAAUGUGCCUAGAGGUAUAGACAGGCAAAACAAACAAUAAAUUACCAAGGUUGAUUUUGUAAGGCGAGAUGCUUCCACUCACUAUAUGACUAACAGGGUUUUUAAUGAAAUGACAGGUACUACUCUGACACAAGAGAGGGAAUCAUAUGAUCUGGAGAUACUGACGGUCAGCUGUCUUCAGUUCAACACUCCUCCAAGAUGACUGGCUAUUUCUAGGAAAUCUAAGACCUACUUGCUAAUAAAUAUUAAAACUAAGGUUCUGACAGCGCUCUCAGUGCCCAACAACCGAAAAGAUACAAUACAACUAGUUUUCAGUUAACAAGGAAAAGAAUCCAGAUCUUGCUGCAGAACCUCAACAUGCUCAUCAUUGAAAGCUAGAUUAUACUAGGGCGGGCGGUUGGUAAACAGGAAAUUAAAACAAAUAUUCUAAGGCUAAAGCUACAAUCAGUGCACAUCUACUAGUUCAGGCACCAUCGGCUAAAUUUACCCUAGUAUUGAGUUUCAGGUGACAGACAUUCAGAACUGGACAAAAAUGAAAACAGAGUAGCAUUGAAAUCCCCCUAAAGGCACGUAAGAACGCACCGACAUGUACUACGAAGUUGAAAAAUCAUGUGCUAGUAGGGCUGCAGAACACGAAAUACAGUGUGCAGGUUACCCAGCAAAGUGAUUAUGCCGGUCUGGGGAGACAUUUUCAGGAAUACCGUUCACAAAAAGGAAGUGUGCAAGUGCACACGUCGACGCCGAAAGCUUCAACUCCCUUGGUUCUAUCUUCCAUGCAUAUCAAAGCCAC